UUUAUCGGAGAGUUUGAUCCUGGCUCAGGACGAACGCUGGCGGCGUGCCUAAUACAUGCAAGUCGAGCGGACAGAUGGGAGCUUGCUCCCUGAUGUUAGCGGCGGACGGGUGAGUAACACGUGGGUAACCUGCCUGUAAGACUGGGAUAACUCCGGGAAACCGGGGCUAAUAC
RNAcentral lists this ribosomal RNA (173 nucleotides) under Bacillus subtilis. RNAcentral describes it as "partial 16S ribosomal RNA". It matches the Rfam family "Bacterial small subunit ribosomal RNA", at positions 1 to 169 of the family's 1533-position model. The record is from RNAcentral. RNAcentral also lists the same sequence under 1 other name. Lineage: Bacteria; Bacillati; Bacillota; Bacilli; Caryophanales; Bacillaceae.